GGAAGAAGUAGUUAGUGCAAUUAGCAUCAUCCUUGGCUCUGUUCCAAAUAAAGAGCUAAAGGACAACUUGUUGGCUAGAUUGCUUUCUUCUAGCUAUGAUGCUGUAGGAAAACUUAUUGAAGAAGAUAAUGAUCAUUCUUUUAGACAAAAUCCUGCUACUUACACACAAAUUUUGAGUUCUGCAGCAAGAGGGCUGUACAGGAUAGGAACUGUAUUUAGUCAUCUUGCUACACCUCUGCCAAGCGUGCCUGGUGAAGAUGAUCCUAUAUUUGGAUUGCUAAGGGUUUUUUGGCCCAUUUUAGAGAAACUAUUUAGGUCUGAACAUAUGGAGAGUAGCAAUUUAUCUACUGCAGCUUGCCGGGC
Molecule: unclassified non-coding RNA, 363 nt
Filed under: Hevea brasiliensis (rubber tree)
Lineage: Eukaryota; Viridiplantae; Streptophyta; Magnoliopsida; Malpighiales; Euphorbiaceae
Source: RNAcentral